GGAUUACUGGAAAGACAAUUACGUUGGUCGAUCGAGACGCAAUCGACGAGCCAACCCGUUGUUUCCUAUCACCAUGUGGAACAUGCGAGAACGUGUUGCUGAUGGCAUGCCGCGAACAAAUAACUCAGUCGAGGGUUGGCAUAACGCGUUCCAGUCGUCUUGGAUUUACCAGCAGUCAGGCAGCCAGAAAGUCUAAAUACGCUCAACUAUCAAGACGUCUUGCUGCAAUUCUUCCUACAUAUGCAGGGCGUGAUCUUAAGGACUAUCUGCGUGCCGCGUCUCAUAAUAUUGACUUCUAAAAUAAACAUUAUUAUAUAUGCUUUAAACUAGUAAUUCAUAUUUAAUGAAACUUUUGAAAACUU
Long non-coding RNA from Erpetoichthys calabaricus (reedfish), 362 nucleotides. RefSeq lists it as uncharacterized. The transcript has 3 exons. The record is from RefSeq and is a predicted model, not a curated record. Lineage: Eukaryota; Metazoa; Chordata; Cladistia; Polypteriformes; Polypteridae.